RNAcentral lists this small nuclear RNA (18 nucleotides) under Arabidopsis thaliana (thale cress). RNAcentral describes it as "snRNA_03335". The record is from RNAcentral. Lineage: Eukaryota; Viridiplantae; Streptophyta; Magnoliopsida; Brassicales; Brassicaceae.
UUGAAAUUGUCGGGAGGG